CCUACGAGUGGCUGCAGUGGGGAAUAUUGCACAAUGGGGGAAACCCUGAUGCAGCGACGCCGCGUGAGUGAAGAAGUAUUUCGGUACGUAAAGCUCUAUCAGCAGGGAAGAAAAUGACGGUACCUGACUAAGAAGCCCCGGCUAACUACGUGCCAGCAGCCGCGGUAAUACGUAGGGGGCCAGCGUUAUCCGGAUUUACUGGGUGUAAAGGGAGCGUAGACGGCAGCGCAAGUCUGGAGUGAAAUCCCAUGGCUUAACCAGGGAACGGCUUUGGAAACUGUGCAGCUAGAGUGCAGGAGAGGUAAGCGGAAUUCCUAGUGUAGCGGUGAAAUGCGUAGAUAUUAGGAGGAACACCAGUGGCGAAGGCGGCUUACUGGACUGUAACUGACGUUGAGGCUCGAAAGCGUGGGGAGCAAACAGGAUUAGAUACCCGGGUAGUC
RNAcentral lists this ribosomal RNA (440 nucleotides) under uncultured bacterium. RNAcentral's name for it is "partial 16S ribosomal RNA". It matches the Rfam family "Bacterial small subunit ribosomal RNA", at positions 338 to 795 of the family's 1533-position model. The record is from RNAcentral.